CGAACUUCCGUUAAUUGAUUAUGACGUACUUGUACUGAUUGAGAUUUUAACACGAAGUGAGUGGCGAACGGGUGAGUAACACGUGGGUAACCUGCCCAGAAGUAGGGGAUAACACCUGGAAACAGAUGCUAAUACCGUAUAACAGAGAAAACCGCAUGGUUUUCUUUUAAAAGAUGGCUCUGCUAUCACUUUUGGAUGGACCCGCGGCGUAUUAGCUAGUUGGUGAGGUAAAGGCUCACCAAGGCAGUGAUACGUAGCCGACCUGAGAGGGUAAUCGGCCACAUUGGGACUGAGACACGGCCCAGACUCCUACGGGAGGCAGCAGUAGGGAAUCUUCCACAAUGGACGCAAGUCUGAUGGAGCAACGCCGCGUGAGUGAAGAAGGGUUUCGGCUCGUAAAGCUCUGUUGUUAAAGAAGAACGUGGGUAAGAGUAACUGUUUACCCAGUGACGGUAUUUAACCAGAAAGCCACGGCUAACUACGUGCCAGCAGCCGCGGUAAUACGUAGGUGGCAAGCGUUAUCCGGAUUUAUUGGGCGUAAAGCGAGCGCAGGCGGUCUUUUAAGUCUAAUGUGAAAGCCUUCGGCUCAACCGAAGAAGUGCAUUGGAAACUGGGAGACUUGAGUGCAGAAGAGGACAGUGGAACUCCAUGUGUAGCGGUGAAAUGCGUAGAUAUAUGGAAGAACACCAGUGGCGAAGGCGGCUGUCUGGUCUGCAACUGACGCUGAGGCUCGAAAGCAUGGGUAGCGAACAGGAUUAGAUACCCUG
This 767-nucleotide ribosomal RNA is filed under the name Pediococcus pentosaceus. Its description in RNAcentral is "bacterial SSU rRNA". It matches the Rfam family "Bacterial small subunit ribosomal RNA", at positions 47 to 789 of the family's 1533-position model. Lineage: Bacteria; Bacillati; Bacillota; Bacilli; Lactobacillales; Lactobacillaceae. The record is from RNAcentral.